GAGGCAGGCCAUAGCGGCGGAGGCCAUUGCAGCAAACAGUGCUGGAUGGUGACUGCGGAGGCUGCCAUGACACAGGCCUCAGUGGCGGUGGCAGCGCAGACUGCAGCAGCCAAGGCCUUUGGAGCGUUCCAGUGAAGAUAUAGAUAUCAUAUUCACCCGCCUCAAAGAAGUGAAAGCUUUUGAAAAAUUUCAUCCAAAUCUUCUCCAGCAAAUAUGUCUCUGUGGUUAUUAUGAACACUUGGAAAAGGGAAUUACAUUAUUUCGGCAAGGUGACAUAGGAACAAAUUGGUAUGCUGUGCUGACCGGAUCUUUGGAUGUUAAAGUUUCUGACACAAGCAACCACCAGGAUGCCGUGACAAUAUGCACCUUGGGAAUAGGAACGGCCUUCGGAGAGUCGAUUUUGGAUAACACCCCUCGCCAUGCUACUAUUGUCACGAGGGAAGGCAGCGAGCUGCUGCGAAUUGAGCAGAAGGAUUUCAAGGCACUUUG
Non-coding RNA from Pogona vitticeps (central bearded dragon), 489 nucleotides. Lineage: Eukaryota; Metazoa; Chordata; Lepidosauria; Squamata; Agamidae. The record is from RefSeq and is a predicted model, not a curated record.